CCCUUAGAUGUUCUGGGCCACACACGUGCUACACUGGUGCGCGCAGCGAGCUUCAUACCCUGUGCCGAGAGGCUCGGGCAAUCUGCAAAUGCGUACCGUGCUUGGGAUCGGCCGUUGCAAUUGUUGGCCGUGAACGAGGAAUUCCUAGUAAACGCAAGUCAUCAACUUGCAUUGAUUACGUCCCUGCCCUUUGUACACACCGCCCGUCGCUCCUACCGAUUGAACGAUGUGAUGAAAUCUUCGGAGGCACGCUUUGCGUCCAGUUCUCUGGACAAAAAGCGAGUCAAAGUUGUUUGAAUCCCAUCGUUUAGAGGAAGGAGAAGUCGUAACA
This 331-nucleotide ribosomal RNA is filed under the name uncultured eukaryote. RNAcentral describes it as "partial 18S ribosomal RNA". It matches the Rfam family "Eukaryotic small subunit ribosomal RNA", at positions 1470 to 1796 of the family's 1831-position model. The record is from RNAcentral.